GGGAGCUGCUGUUGCCGCGGUGGGAAGACGCAGAGCUUUCAGGCCAGCCCCGCGCGGCUCACGGCUUUUGUGGCUGGUGGCUGGUGGCUGCUGGUUGGGAGGCCCCGGAAGGACUUCUACUCCUCCGUAGGCUGGAGGGCACUAGGAGGUCGCAGGUGCUGAGCUGCCGGGGCCUUUGGGCUGUGCUGAAGGGGAAAAGCGCAGCCACUGUCGGGAGUGUGUGCUGUGGAGGCAGUUGCCGCGGUGAUGUUCGCUCCGCCUGGCCCCUGCCGGGGAUUCAGCCAACCAACCCUCAACAGCCGGCGGCGGCUCAGUCUCUGGCCCGGCGCGGUGCUGAGCACCACUGAGCCCUCAUCUUAGGGCACCGAGGCCCGGACUCCUGCAGCCGCAUGUCCAGGCCCCUCCUGCCUUAGCACGGAGCUCCCUUGACUGCUCCAAACAGCCCAGACUGGCGCCUUUUUUGGAUAAAUUAAAACGGGGCCAAUCCGUUGCCAGCGAUUGGCUAACGAUGGGUACACGACCUAGUACGGGCCAGGGAGAAGUAAGCGAGGUCUGUUGAGGCAGAGUUUCGGGAAAGAUCUUCUAGUUAAAAGGGGAGUUGGGUGGGUGGGGGCUGUUUUCUUCCUGUUGUCCUUGCCCAGUGUAAGUUUCCUGGAGCUGCAGCAGCCUUUUUGUCACCAUGAGGGCAGCUGGUGGGAACCCUAGGAAAGCAGGAAAUCACCUAGAGCCGGAACAGCCUGAGCCUCUGAACCAACCCACAGCUGACUACCCGUCACUUUGUCGUGUCUCUGUGAUUUGAGUCCAUCAUUCUGCUGCAGUUGAAGACGAAAUCUUGGUGUAAUGUAAUUUGGCUUUCAUCCCUCUCCUGAUUUCUCAGAAGAUCUUACAAAAAAAUCAUCCUGCCAUUGAAACCCAAAGUGGUCCAUCCAGUCUGGAGGCCGUGGGAACCAUGAAUCCUUUCAGAGUUUGAAGCAAAUGCAAAACUGUUCACGUCAUCCUGGGUUAUUUUAUUGUCUCACCACCUUCCUGAAAUGGAGCUCGAACUUCAUUUAGAGUAGCUCUCGGGCACGCUGGCAGGGGGGCUCCCAGAGCUGAGUGAGCAAGGGGUGCAUUGAGAAGCAGGCGUUCUGCCCCGACCGGCCCACCUCACUCUCCGCAGAGGGAGGCAUUUGUGGUGGGCCAAUGUGCAUGCAGCCCCAGGCUGGACAACUCCAGAAGAAACUCAAGAACACAAAUGUAGAUGAUUAACCAAAAUAGUCUGUUCCAUCUUCCUGCACUGGGGGGAAAUGCCUCUUGUAUUUUAGAGGAGAGAGAGAAUGGGAAGGAAGCCACUGCAGGUGUGGCAGACAUUGGAGGACUCAGGUCAAGUAUAAAACUGCUGUGGCCACGGAUUUAACUAAGUUUCAACCAAGUAGCUUUCCAGGUUGGGUGACAUCUGCUACAUGCUAGAACUAGCUGUGGAGUCUGUGCUUUGGCCCCAGUUUGGAGUCCAGAACUAUUAGCAUGUAUCACCGAGUUGUGUUUGUAAGGGUUGUGUGUAUUUUUAGUGCUUCCCAGAGCUUUCUACCCUGAUCGCCUUCCACAGGUAGAAGCGGCUGACUGUACCUGGUACCUGGGGCCACUCCAGAGGUCCCCUCUGGGAGGUGAUGCCUCUGUGCACAAGCAGCCUGUGCAAGAAUGUCAAGGUCAGCGGAAGAGAGGGCACACGCCCUCCAAGGAGGUGGUGUGGGUUGGGACUCAGUGUCCUGGAAGGGACCUCCUUCAGGCAAGAGCUCUUGGAGUCAGACGGCACGAAAGAACCUGAGUAUAGAACUUCUCAGGUCUCUAAGGAAUUACAUCUGAUUCUAUAAGAAUCAGAAGUUUGUUGGCCAGGUGCAGUGGCUCACAUCUGUAAUCCCAGCACUUGGAGAGGCUAAGGCAGGAAGAUCACUUGAGCUCAGGAGUUGGAGACCAGCCUGGGCAAUAUAGUGAGACCUCAUCUCUAUU
Long non-coding RNA from Homo sapiens (human), 1986 nucleotides. RefSeq lists it as uncharacterized. The record is from RefSeq and is marked validated. Lineage: Eukaryota; Metazoa; Chordata; Mammalia; Primates; Hominidae. The transcript has 3 exons.